Molecule: ribosomal RNA, 253 nt
Filed under: uncultured bacterium
Lineage: Bacteria
Description: partial 16S ribosomal RNA
Rfam family: Bacterial small subunit ribosomal RNA
Source: RNAcentral
UACGGGGGGGGUAAGCGUUGUUCGGAAUUACUGGGCGUAAAGGGCUCGUAGGCGGCCAACUAAGUCAGACGUGAAAUCCCUCAGCUUAACUGGGGAACUGCGUCUGAUACUGGAUGGCUUGGAUUUGGGAGAGGGAUGCGGAAUUCCAGGUGUAGCGGUGAAAUGCGCAGAUAUCAGGAGGAACACCAGUGGCGAAGGCGGCACUCUGGGCCGGUACUGACGCUGAGGAGCGAAAGCGUGGGGAGCGAACAGG